Molecule: ribosomal RNA, 730 nt
Filed under: uncultured organism
Description: bacterial SSU rRNA
Rfam family: Bacterial small subunit ribosomal RNA
Source: RNAcentral
AGUUGGGCGUGAAAGCUCCGGGCUUAACCCGGAGAGGCCGUUCAAUACUGCAUAACUUGAGGGUGUCAGAGGGGAGCGGAAUUCCCGGUGUAGCGGUAAAAUGCGCAGAGAUCGGGAGGAACACCAGUGGCGGAGGCGGUUCCCUGGGGCACACCUGACGCUGAGAGACGAAAGCUAGGGGAGCGAACAGGAUUAGAGACCCUGGUAGUCCUAGCCCUAAACGAUGAAUGCUAGGUGUGGGAUCGAAUGGUUCCGUGCCGGAGCGAACGCGAUAAGCAUUCCGCCUGGGGAGUACGGCCGCAAGGUUAAAACUCAAACGAAUUGACGGGGCCCCGCACAAGCAGCGGAGCGUGUGGUUUAAUUCGAUGCUACACGAAGAACCUUACCUGGGUUUGACAUGUAGGUGGUAGUGAAUCGAAAGGUGAACGACCCUUCGGGGAGCCUACACAGGUGCUGCAUGGCUGUCGUCAGCUCGUGCCGUGAGGUGUCGGGUUAAGUCCCGUAACGAGCGCAACCCUUGCUCCUAGUUACAAGUGUCUAGGGGGACUGCCGGCGGAAAGCCGGAGGAAGGUGGGGAUGACGUCAAGUCAGCAUGGCCCUUAUAUCCAGGGCUACACACACGCUACAAUGGUCGGUACAAAGGGCAGCGAAACCGCGAGGCGGAGCGAAUCCGAGAAAAGCCGAUCGUAGUUCGGAUAGCAGGCUGCAACCCGCCUGCUUGAAGCUGGAG